RNAcentral lists this ribosomal RNA (508 nucleotides) under uncultured bacterium. RNAcentral describes it as "partial 16S ribosomal RNA". It matches the Rfam family "Bacterial small subunit ribosomal RNA", at positions 30 to 523 of the family's 1533-position model. The record is from RNAcentral.
AUUGAACGCUGGCGGCAUGCCUUACACAUGCAAGUCGAACGGCAGCGGGGGAGAAGCUUGCUUUUCCUGCCGGCGAGUGGCGAACGGGUGAGUAAUACAUCGGAACGUGCCCUGUAGUGGGGGAUAACUAGUCGAAAGAUUAGCUAAUACCGCAUACGACCUGAGGGUGAAAGUGGGGGACCGCAAGGCCUCAUGCUAUAGGAGCGGCCGAUGUCUGAUUAGCUAGUUGGUGGGGUAAAGGCCUACCAAGGCGACGAUCAGUAGCUGGUCUGAGAGGACGAUCAGCCACACUGGGACUGAGACACGGCCCAGACUCCUACGGGAGGCAGCAGUGGGGAAUUUUGGACAAUGGGCGAAAGCCUGAUCCAGCAAUGCCGCGUGUGUGAAGAAGGCCUUCGGGUUGUAAAGCACUUUUGUCCGGAAAGAAAUGGUUCCGGUUAAUACCUGGGGUCGAUGACGGUACCGGAAGAAUAAGGACCGGCUAACUACGUGCCAGCCGCCGCAGUAA